GGCACCUAUAUAAGGGGCGCGCGGGCGCAGCUGAGCAAGACAUUCUCUUCAGCGUGCGAGAAUAAAAGGGGUGCUGUGAGGGAAAGGCGGCGGUGGCGACGACGACGGCGGCAAGCGGUCUCCAGAGCCAAGACACUAUGCGUCACCUGUAAGCAGGGAAGCUGACUCUUUGGCCGCUGCUUUUUGUGUGCCCAGCCCCACUUGCCCAGUCUGCCCGCCUCUGUGAUCCUCCGCAGCACCUGCUGGAAGUCCGCCGUGCGUCACUGAGGUGGUGUUCCUGCUGAUGUUUCAGGAGCUGCUGCAGAAGGAAGAAGCAGCAGCGUUGGGACCUGGGUGGCAGGAGCAUGCUUGAAGAGGAUGCUGUUGAUUUUUUAGGUCAGCUAUCCUGAUUCUGUCCCAGCUCCCUGUGUUGCUCCCAGCCCUCUUCCUGUAAAGUAGGAGAAGGUGAGAAAAUGAAUGUCAUUCACUCUGUUCAAAACUACUCUGUAACAACUGAAAACAUAGGUGUGUUAUCAGCAUUGUACUUUUCCAGAAUGUAGCAUUAUAUCAGCCACUUUAAAGAGGAAGUACUCUGUGCCUGCUGAAACUAAGACAAUACCCACCUCUUGUCCUGUCGCAUUUGUGUUAUGCUGAAGUCUUGUAACAAUUUUAUAUGUCCUAAUUAAUUAUUAUCUCCUGUCUUACUUUUUGAUGUGUAUACUCAUCUAAUUCCCAUAGCCUGUGGUCCAUCCGUGUAAAUUAUCUGUCCAUGAAAUUUAUUUAGUUCAUUAUUUUGGGCUGUAUCUGUCAUAGCAGUCCUUCAGUACAAGAGAGAGGAUCCAUUUUUGGAUUACUGCUUUCUAAGCUAGUUCUGACUUCAUCAGGAUUUGUUCUUCUUCAGUUGGAGUGGUUCUUACUGUAAUAGUGUAAUCAAGGUCUACAACAACCAUAGUGAUGAUGGCAUGCAGUAUUGUGUAGCAACUGAUAUCAUACGAUAUGUAUUUUUAUUUAUUCUUGCACAGCAUCAAAUCCCUGGGAGGUACAAAACAGACACCCCUCAUUCUGCUUUACCCACCACGUGCCUGCAGAUCUGAGUGUUGACUAUCCAGGCACCUUUUGCUAAAUAUGUGUCCCAGCGUUUGAAUGGAAUGCACCCAUGGCUCUUAAGGUUGUCUUUAAUAUGCCAGUGUAUCAUUUGAUUUUUCCAGACACCGUGCAUGGUAGGGGAUGUGAUAUACCAACUCAUUGCUGUGCUCUUUUGCCCAGGUGAUUAUGAGAUUGUUUCAGAAAUGAGUAAUGUUUUCUGACUCAGUUCUUCCUGGGAUGCUGUGUCACCAGAAGGUUUGCUUUUCAGGGCCCAGGAUAGUACUUUGGGCAGUAGCAAUGUGCAUGGGGUCUGUUGCCAGCCAUCUGGUGGUUGCUUCCACCGUUGCAGGACUGUGGUGCUUGACUUGUCAACAGCAGUCACAGAUCUCAUAGUUCACUUAAUAUUAGGAGUCAGACAGUUUCUUUCUCUUUCUUCUCCUCCCAUUUUAGUCAUAGCCUUGCUCUACCUUCAUCUUACCUUGUGAGUUUCUCUCCUUGUUAAAUGUUCUAGCUUUUUUAGAUAUUUUUUCUUCUUGCUUAUAAGGGACAGCAGUUACAGGCACUGGUUGGUUCUUUGGUUGAACUGUGGGACAUAUCACAGGGAUUGGAGUGACCACAAGGCUGGUUGUGAGGCUGUUCUUUGUAAUUGGGUCAUCCUGCUUUGUUUUCAAUUUUUGGAACUGUGAUUAAAUUCACUUGUAGCUAUUAUUAGAUAAUAAAAUUGAAUUAGAUGCUGCAGAAGUCUAGACAUCAGUAAUAAGCGCUUGUGUCUAUUGCCUAAUGUACUCGAUAUUUUUAAAAUGAAUAAUAAAAAAAGGUUAGUUUGCCAAAUACAUUUAAAAAAAAAUAAUUCCAAACUAGCUUCCUUCUGAGAAUAUCGAGUCAUACUAUCUAAUACUUCUCAUUUAUCUCAUGUGUUUAUGGAACAUAUAAGUUUAUAAGCUUAUUAUGCAUUCUUUCAACAUUGUUGUACUUUGCACAUACCCUCUCAAGCAUUUCAUAGUAACUGCCUGUCGAAAGUCAGAAAGAACUUCCUCUUACAUCCUCCUGCCCAUACAUAGAAUAAAAGACGAGGGAAGGGAGAAAAAAAUCUUCUGUUCCUUGUUUGUCUGUAGUACAAUGCAUAGGGAAUUGGGAAGGCAAAAUCUUUGCUGCUGUCCUCCCGUAUAUGUUUAUGAAGCUAUAACAUAUCAUUAAAUUAGAGCUACUGGUAGGUUUUUAAUUCCAGCUGGGGAUCGUUUUGUUCAUUUAAUCUGAUAUCAUGUGUAUCAGAGAUAAGGGAUCUUGUCCAGGGUUCUCUGCACUGGGAUUUUUUGGGAAAUCUUACUAACUGCCUCGGCAUUGAGGCUUUUCUUCAG
This is a long non-coding RNA of Meleagris gallopavo (turkey), 2423 nucleotides long. RefSeq lists it as uncharacterized. The record is from RefSeq and is a predicted model, not a curated record. Lineage: Eukaryota; Metazoa; Chordata; Aves; Galliformes; Phasianidae.